UACGAAGGGCCCAAGCGUUGCGCGGAAUCACUGGGCUUAAAGGGUGCGCAGGCGGAUCUGCAAGUACCCUGUGAAAUCCCACGGCUCAACCGUGGAAUUGCAGGGUAUACUGCGGGUCUUGAGCCCGGCAGAGGCCAUCGGAACUCUAGGUGGAGCGGUGAAAUGCGUAGAUAUCUAGAGGAACGCCAAAGGUGAAGACAGAUGGCUGGGCCGGUGCUGACGCUCAGGCGCGAAAGCGUGGGGAGCGAACGGG
RNAcentral lists this unclassified non-coding RNA (253 nucleotides) under uncultured Phycisphaeraceae bacterium. RNAcentral describes it as "contains 16S-23S intergenic spacer region". It matches the Rfam family "Bacterial small subunit ribosomal RNA", at positions 524 to 776 of the family's 1533-position model. The record is from RNAcentral. Lineage: Bacteria; Pseudomonadati; Planctomycetota; Phycisphaerae; Phycisphaerales; Phycisphaeraceae.